CGGUCCCAAGGGUUGGGCUGUUCGCCCAUUAAAGCGGUACGCGAGCUGGGUUCAGAACGUCGUGAGACAGUUCGGUCCCUAUCUGCUGUGGGUGUUGAUAUUUGAGAGGAGCUGUUCCUAGUACGAGAGGACCGGAAUGGACAUACCUCUGGUGGAUCGGUUGUCGCGCCAGCGGCACAGCCGAGUAGCUAAGUAUGGAAAGGAUAACCGCUGAAGGCAUCUAAGCGGGAAGCCUCCCUCAAAACAAGAUAUCUUAGAGUCGUGGUAGACCACCACGUUGAUAGGAGGUAUGUGGAAGCGCA
This 302-nucleotide ribosomal RNA is filed under the name Condylostoma magnum. RNAcentral's name for it is "partial Bacterial large subunit ribosomal RNA". It matches the Rfam family "Bacterial large subunit ribosomal RNA", at positions 2560 to 2877 of the family's 2925-position model. The record is from RNAcentral. Lineage: Eukaryota; Ciliophora; Heterotrichea; Heterotrichida; Condylostomatidae.